GUACUGCAGAGGAGUCCCAAACUAGGACGAGAGAGCUGUCCAGUAC
Non-coding RNA from Trichobilharzia regenti, 46 nucleotides. The record is from Rfam. NCBI's taxonomy places the organism in Eukaryota, Metazoa, Platyhelminthes, Trematoda, Strigeidida, Schistosomatidae.